Molecule: non-coding RNA, 4022 nt
Organism: Rattus norvegicus (Norway rat)
Lineage: Eukaryota; Metazoa; Chordata; Mammalia; Rodentia; Muridae
Source: RefSeq, a predicted model, not a curated record
UUGACUGGGAUGCCCACAGAUACCUGUGUAUCCUGAUCAAUAAAAAUCCUCUUGCUGAUUGCAGCCUGUGGACUCGGACUGGUCAUUGGGCUUGAGGAUCUCCCUCCUGAGGGAAGAUUCUCUCUGAGAGUCUUACAUAUGGGGGCUCGUCCGGGAUCGGAGAUCCUUUGCCUAAAGACCACCGACCACCCACCGGGAGGUAAGCUGGCCAGUGUUUGUCUUGUCCUGUCUUGUCUUGCUUUGUGACUUGUUCUGUAAAUGCUUAGUUACUUGGCUUGGGUCUAGACCGUUUAUAUUUGGGCGGGCCAGAGAAGGAGCUGACGAACUCGGACUUCUCCCCCGCAGCCCUGGAAGACGUUCCAAGGGUGUUUGGAGCCCGGUUUUUCGGGGCUCAGCCUGUAUCGGAAGGAUACAUGGUUUUGGGUUGGAGGAGAGAGGAGAGAGCCAGAUCCACUGAAGGAUCCGGACCCUCGUCGCUUCUGUCUGAAUUUUUGGUUUCAGUUUGACACCGAAGCCGCGAGGUCUUCUUUACCACCGAGGAAAGACGGAAUCCUACUGGAGGCCAGAAAGAAUGUUCCAGACAUGGAUAGAAGACCCUCACUCCUGACUGUUGACUUGAAUGCGCCUAAAGGUAGGGAGUGCUCCAGGUCUGCCACCAGGCUCCAAGGGUGGGUCUCCGAGGGGCUGGAAAAUGCCCCACCAAUCUGGCUAAGAUAAGGAAAAGAUAUAAAGAGAGAAAGUUACAAAAAUUUAAAGGGUUAAGCUAAGUUGCUGAGAGUUAGUGUAAGUUACAGAGAAAGUACUGAGGAAGAGAAAGAAAAAAAAAGGUAAAAAGAGCAGGAAGCUAAGAAAGAAAAGAGACAAAAAGAAGAAGAAGCUAGAGAGCUAAAGAGGGAUAAAAGACGAGAGAGGAACAUAUACUGGCCACAGUAGUUAGGGAACCUAGGAAGAUAAUACCUGGCAACAGAAGAGAAUUCCUGGCUAAAGAUCAGUGUGCCUAAUACAAAGAAAAAGGACAUUGGGUCAGGGACUGCCCCAGGAAGAACAAGAGGGGCCUCUCCAGCAGCCCGGAAGGCAAGCCUCUUGGUCCUAGAGUGCUGGCUAUGCGCUAAGAUAGAAGGGAAGCCUGCCCAGUUGUUUUGUGAAUACGGGGGCCUAACACUCUGUGCUCCUACGCCCAAAUGGGCUAGUGUCAAGCAAAAGACCUUGAGUACGGGGGCUACUGACAACAAAUGAUACUCAUGGACUACCCGAAGAACGGUGGACCUUGGCGUGGGCCGGGUAUCCCACUUGUUCCUUGUGAUCCCAGACUGCCCCUACGAGUCUAAACCCUACAACCCUGCUCCCGGACCCUGACCUAGACACCCCCCUUCAUGACUGUCAACAGGAGCUCACUAAAGCACAGGAGUGGCAUAAAGAUCGGACUGAUCAGCCAACAGAGGGGGUAGAUGCCAUCUGGUUCAUAGAUGGGAACAGCUUCUUAGAGAAGAAAAAAAGAUGGGCUGGGGCAGCAGUGGUAGAUGGAAACAGAAUCAUAUGGGCUCAGGCCCUACCAGAAGGCACUUCUACACAGAGGGUAGAGCUCGCUCCCCUCACCAAAGCCCUUGAGCCAAGAAGGAGACUUAACAUCUAUGUGGACAACAGGUAUGCCUUUGCUACAGCCCAUCAACAAAGGGGCCUGCUGACAUCUGAGGGCAAGAAGAAAAAAAAAAGAGAUUCUGGCUCUGUUAAGGGCCCUCCAUGACCCAGCCAGGCCGAGGAAGAGACUCUGGUACACCUCAACGAGAAAGAAUAUCCUGCUACAAUUUUUACAGGCAGAGGCCAUGGUAAAACAAAUACAUCAAUAGACUCACUUAGGGGUAAGCAAACUCAUCCAGACGUUUUCAAAAACUAAAUAUUAUGUUACAGGUCUCAAGUAUCUCAUGGAACAGAUAGUGCACUGAUGUAUACCAUGCCAAAAGGUAACUGUUUUCAGGAAGGUUGACUGUGGUAAGAGGCUCCAUGGGGAACGGCCUGGAUACUACUGAGAAGUGGAGUUCACAGAGAUAAAACCAGGAAAAUAUGAUUUCAAAUGUCUCCUAGUGUUUAUAGAUAUCUUUUCAAGAAUAGAUAGAAGCUUUCCCGACCAAGCAAGAGAUGACCUCAAUAGUCAUCAAGAAGAUACUAGAAGAAAUCUUCCCCCGAUUUGGAGUGCCCAAGGUAAUCUGGUCAGACAACGGCCCUACUUUCGUUGCCAAGGUAAGCCAGGGUGUGGCCAAAUAUUUAGAGGUCAAUUAAAAAUUACGUUAUAUUUACAGACCUCAAAGUUCAGGACAGAUAGAGUAAAUAAAUAAAACUAUAAAAGAGACCCUGACCAAAUUGACCAUGGAGACUGGCACAGACUGGGUGACACUCCUUCCCUCUUGCUCUCUUCAGAGCAAGAAAUACCCCUUCCAGAUUCAGCCUUACCCCCUUUGAUAUCUUAUAUGGGGCCUCAGCUCCCCUGACUGUAUUAGAUGAUGUUACUGAACCAACAUGUCAUAGUCAUAAUGAUUUGUGUGCCAGGCUAAAAGACCUACAGGUGAUACAGAAAGAAAUCUGCUCACAGCUGACAGCAGCCUAUGCCCCGGAGACCCCUGAGACAUCUCAUCAGUCAUCAGUUCCAGGUCGGAGACUGCAGCUACCUACACUGAGCCCAGACACUCGAGCCUCACUGGAAAGGACUGUACCUGGUGCUGCUGACCACCCUGACAGCCAUCAAGUCGAGUACUAGCUGUUGGGGCUGAGAACUGGGACCUAGAGGGACACUCAGAUCUUCAAAAAGCUCCCUAGACUUACACAUCAGAUAAGUGGAUACAUCAGAGACGUGACUGGGAGGUUGCUAUAAUGCUCACUUGAAGAGUGUGCUUUAGAAACAAAAAUUUCAUGUUUGCCUGUUUGCCCUGGGUUCCCUCGGAAUGGGUGUAAGGAUAGGCUUGAUUUUUAUUGCAAAUAAUGUAACAUUACAUAUGUUAGUACUCCUAACACUUCUUGGGACUGUGCCUCAGGGACCAUAAGUUUAAAAGUUCUAAAAGACCUUGGUAUAUAGGUUCAGAUAGUGUCCAGAUUAGAAUCCUGAUGCUAAAGACUUAAUAAGACACAAAAGAGAGUUAAAAAUUAUUUAAGGCUAUCCAGGUGCUACAAGGGCAGCACAAGGACAUCUGCUGUUGCCUUACAAUACAAGGCUUAUAGAGAAUUCAGAACUGCCAUUGACUCAGAUAUGAAAAGAGUAAAAAAGACUUUUUAGCUGACCUCCAAGAAUACCUAACCUCCCUCUCAGAGGUAGUCCUUCAAAAUAAAAAAAGAUUAGACCUGAUAUUCCUUAAAGAAGGAGUCUGUGUGCUACACUAAAAGAAAAAAUGUUGUUUCUAUGCAGAUCAGACAGGAAUAAUAAGAGAUACACUUUCAGUCAUUCAAACUUUUGUGCUGAGACAACAGUAUCAGAUGGUGAAACAACAAAAAACAGAGGUACCUUAACCAAGUUGAGUGGAAGAUUCCACUCAAGGACAAAAAGAAAAUGGGGGAAUGAAAGACCCCCUCCCAGAAAGGGAAUUGUACAAGCCCAAGGCCCUCUUUUUUACUAUAGAAGUAAAAAAUAAGUUUUUAGAUAUGUGGGACAAGCUGACCCAACAUUUAGACAAAAAUAGCCCAGAAAAGAAAACAAAAUGCAGAAACUAGACUAAAAUAUGGGCAUUGCUCCAUGGGCCACCUGGCAGGGAAAAAGAAACAGUCCCUGACCCCCCGGGAGACCCGACCACCAUGUACUUUUUGCUAACUCAUUGUUAUGAUUAUAGCCAAAAUAGGUAACAUACACGCAUGCCUCAUUUACUCCACCAAUCACAUCCCUGUAACCAUGCAUCUGCUUCUGUAAGCCUGCUUCUGCUCCCCAAAAUACUAUAAAAAGCCCACCCUGGCUCUGCUAGGCGCGCCAGUCUUCCGAAUUGACUGGGAUGCCCACAGAUACCUGUGUAUCCUGAUCAAUAAAAAUCCUCUUGCUGAUUGCA